GCCAUGCUUGCCCGGAUGGGCGGAGAUCGAGCAGGAGUGGAUUCUGUGGUGCACCAGGAUGAGGGUGCCCACGAAUCUUACCUUGUCACGGCCGGCUCUCCUCUCUCCCUCCGCGUUAUGCAUUGGUAGCUUUGUUGGAUUGGCAACGCCGGUGAAGUUCGAUAUUGGAGGUAAGCAAAAAUCUCGAGGUAGAUUGAGUCUCUAUAUACUCCCUCCGUCCCAAAAUUCUUCUAGAUGAGUAGUAUCGAUAUACGGUUAGGAUUAGGGGUUGUUUGGAUUGGGUACGGAGUUUUUGCCAAUUCUGUUUCCCGUAAACUCAUUUGAAGGGCUAAUCACCUGAAAUUUGCGGAAUUGAUAACUUCCGAACGCACUGCGCUUUGUGUUUCGAUCCGAACGUGUUCUGUACCGUUAGAUCAAUUGGCGUGGAUCUUGAAGCAUGUGCUUGACACGUCAUGUUUCUCGUUCGUUCGUUCCAGGAACUCCUCGGCCCGAACGAACGCCUUAUCCUCUCCACCGUCACUUUUUCCUUCUGGGCUUCUUUUCCCCAUCCCCAUCGUCUUCACUGAGAGAGAGAGAGAGUCGAGCUGGAGCAGCCGCGCCUUGCCGCCGCUCACCGGUGAGGCCUCGCGGCGCCCCGUCGGUGGCUUAGAUUUCGGGGAGGCGCUCGAGGGGAGCGACGGCGGCGGAGACCUGGGAGGCGGCGGAGGUGCUGCUCGCAGGAAGUGGCGGUGGCGGCGGCUGCCACACCAGCGGAGCUGUCCAAUGCCGCAGCAGGGCCUACCACGGCACCGGCAAGCUGCCUGCACUGCAAGCGGGGAGCGACGCCGGCGGCGACCUGGGAGGCAGCAGAGGUGCUGCUAGCAGGGAGCGGCGGCGGCGGCGACCGAUCCUCCAGUGGAGCUAUUCAACGCCGCAGCGGGGCCCUACAACGGCUUCGGCACGUUGCCUGCGCAGGGGCCUACCACGGCGCCGCGAUUUCCUCUGGCUUGUCGACAAGGUGCGGCUCUUCUUGGCGCGGCCGAGGACGAUGGUCAUGGGCAACGUGCCAGAGACGCCCAUCUACCGGUGGAUGGACCAGUACACGACGUGCU
This is a long non-coding RNA of Triticum dicoccoides, 1091 nucleotides long. RefSeq lists it as uncharacterized. NCBI's taxonomy places the organism in Eukaryota, Viridiplantae, Streptophyta, Magnoliopsida, Poales, Poaceae. The transcript has 3 exons. The record is from RefSeq and is a predicted model, not a curated record.